This 513-nucleotide ribosomal RNA is filed under the name uncultured bacterium. Its description in RNAcentral is "bacterial SSU rRNA". It matches the Rfam family "Bacterial small subunit ribosomal RNA", at positions 108 to 607 of the family's 1533-position model. The record is from RNAcentral.
GACUUUCAAAGUAAGGCAACCUGCCUGUAGACUGGGAUAACUUCGCCACUUCGGAGCUAAUACCGGAUAAUCCUUUUCUACUCUGUAAAAAAGCUGAAAGACGGUUUACGCUGUCACUUACAGAUGGGCCCGCGGCGCAUUAGCUAGUUGGUGAGGUAACGGCUCACCAAGGCGACGAUGCGUAGCCGACCUGAGAGGGUGAUCGGCCACACUGGGACUGAGACACGGCCCACACUCCUACGGGAGGCAGCAGUAGGGAAUCUUCCGCAAUGGACGAAAGUCUGACGGAUCACCGCCGCGUGAGUGAUGAAGGUUUUCGGAUCGUAAAACUCUGUUGUUAGGGAAGAACAAGUACGAGAGUAACUGCUCGUACCUUGACGGUACCUAACCAGAAAGCCACGGCUAACUACGUGCCACCAGCCGCGGUAAUACGUAGGUGGCAAGCGUUGUCCGGAAUUAUUGGGCGUAAAGCGCGCGCAGGCGGUCCUUUAAGUCUGAUGUGAAAGCCCACGG